AAUGGCAUAAGCCAGCUUGACUGCGAGCGUGACGGCGCGAGCAGGUGCGAAAGCAGGUCAUAGUGAUCCGGUGGUUCUGAAUGGAAGGGCCAUCGCUCAACGGAUAAAAGGUACUCCGGGGAUAACAGGCUGAUACCGCCCAAGAGUUCAUAUCGACGGCGGUGUUUGGCACCUCGAUGUCGGCUCAUCACAUCCUGGGGCUGAAGUAGGUCCCAAGGGUAUGGCUGUUCGCCAUUUAAAGUGGUACGCGAGCUGGGUUUAGAACGUCGUGAGACAGUUCGGUCCCUAUCUGCCGUGGGCGCUGGAGAACUGAGGGGGGCUGCUCCUAGUACGAGAGGACCGGAGUGGACGCAUCACUGGUGUUCGGGUUGUCAUGCCAAUGGCACUGCCCGGUAGCUAAAUGCGGAAGAGAUAAGUGCUGAAAGCAUCUAAGCACGAAACUUGCCCCGAGAUGAGUUCUCCCUGACUCCUUGAGAGUCCUGAAGGAACGUUGAAGACGACGACGUUGAUAGGCCGGGUGUGUAAGCGCAGCGAUGCGUUGAGCUAACCGGUACUAAUGAACCGUGAGGCUUAACCUUACAACGCCGAAG
This 590-nucleotide ribosomal RNA is filed under the name Escherichia coli. Its description in RNAcentral is "partial 23S ribosomal RNA". It matches the Rfam family "Bacterial large subunit ribosomal RNA", at positions 2353 to 2925 of the family's 2925-position model. The record is from RNAcentral. Lineage: Bacteria; Pseudomonadati; Pseudomonadota; Gammaproteobacteria; Enterobacterales; Enterobacteriaceae.